Long non-coding RNA from Oncorhynchus masou masou (cherry salmon), 2547 nucleotides. RefSeq lists it as uncharacterized. NCBI's taxonomy places the organism in Eukaryota, Metazoa, Chordata, Actinopteri, Salmoniformes, Salmonidae. The transcript has 3 exons. The record is from RefSeq and is a predicted model, not a curated record.
UUCCAGCGUUUAAAUCUCAGGAAGUAGCUCCCAACAUGAGCAAGAGAGGAUGAAGUAAAUUCAACAAAAAGGAUCUACUUGAAAGUUGAAGUACAUCGCUUACACCCAGACAGAUCUGAAGAACUUGGGAACCUCACCAGGAAAAUCAUCUUGUUCUUGGAGUUUAUUCACAAGGUUAGAUAGAAAUAGAUCCACACAUGUUAUUCUCUAUCAUGCAGAAUUGUCGCUAAACUUGUAACUUGGGAAGCUCAUUCAAUAAUACAGACAUGGGUGAUUUCUGUCCCAGGGGACUGAACUGUAUGCAGGUUUUUGUUCAAUUUAGACCACAAUUAGUUGAGGUGUUAGUGAAGUUCUGGAACAAAAAUGCUGCCACCACUAUGCUUCACCAUAGCGAUGGUGCCAGGUUUCCUCCAGAUGUGACGCUUGGAAUUUAGUCCAAAGAGUUCAAACUCCAAGCAGGCUGUCAUGUGCCUUUUACUGAGGAGGGGCUUCUGUCUGGCCACUCUACCAUAAAGGCCUGUUUGGUGUAGUGCUGCAGAGAUGGUUGUCCUUCUGGAAGGUUCUCCCAUCUCCACAGAGGAUCUCUGUAGCUCUCUGUCAUCUCCCUGACCAAGGCCCUUCUCCCCCGUUUGCUCAGUUUGGCUGGGCGGCCAGCUCUAGGAAGAGUCUCGGGGGGGGUUCCAAACUUCUUCCAUUUAAGAAUGAUGGUGGCCUUCAUCAUGGAGGACCUUCAACGCUGCAGACAUUUGUUGGUACCUUUCCCCAGAUCUGUGCCCUGAAACAAUCCUGUCUCAGAGCUCUAUGGACAAUUCCUUCAAUAUCAUGGCUUGGUUUUUGCUCUGACAUGCACUGUCAACUGUGGGACCUUAUAUAGGCAAGUUUGUGCCUUUCCAAAUCAUGUCCAAUCAAUUGCAUUUACCACAGGUGGACUGAGUUGGAGAAACAUCUCAAGGAUGAUCAAUGGAUCCGGAUGCACCUGAGCUCAAUUUCGAGUCAAGUAGCAACGGGACUGAAUACUUGUGUAAAUAAAGGGUUUCUCAACAUGGAUGCCAGUAAGAUCCUUCUAACUACAAGGCUGGGAACAUAGCUCAAAGGCCUUUAGUAUACUCAUCAUAAUAAACUGCAGCUAUGCUUUUGAGAACUUCAUCUUAGAGGCAUGUAUUUCAGUGUACCCCUACGUGCCUUGGCUGUUGAAUUCUCCUACAGAUCAGUGCAAUUCUGAUCGAUUUUGUCAAUGUAUUAUGAUUAUGACUUUUUUUUCGGGUUAAAUUUCAACCACAGUAUUAUGUCACCAUGGUAAUCAAUUUUUAGCAUUGAAAAAUAUGUUGAAUUUGUAUCCUUGAAACAACAUCUGCUCUUCAACCUAAUAUCCACUAUAAGAAAAAUACUAGGCUGGGCAGCACUUCCUACUGAAGAGUAUCUACAGCUGUACCCUUUGGUCUCACAUUCAGGGUUUUAACAAAACCGAACCCUGCUGAUAUUUGUCACUGACUGUUACCAAAGUGCUAUCGUGAGAAUGAUUGUUUGAGAAAUAUACACUUAAAGAUUCACUGUUGCUAUCAAAGUCAGAGCAAAUUAAAUGUAAACUAUACAUUAUCAGUCAUAUAUCAUCAAUUAUGGCAUUUAGGCCUAUAUAUCAUUUGGGAAAUCCUCCACCACUAUUGUUUUAAUUCAAGCCAGGAUGCAACUAAAAAUAGACAAUACAUAUAGGCUUAGGGAUUCAAGCUUUGUCUGAUUUCAAAUGGAAUCUACAAGUUAGUAAGAAAAUAUGUUGGAUUCAUGUCUCCAUCUCUGCCAAAAAUUAAAGUUAAAGAAUAUGACUAAAUCAAAGCAAAGUGCACUUGAAGAUUUUUGGUUGAAAUAGAGACGUGAAUCCCACGUAUCAAUUAAUAAUUUGUAGGCAAAUUGGAAUUAAAAGCCUGACUCAGUGGCACAGACAGAACUAUCCGAGGAUACAUCUCCUUCACAUGUUUAGAUUUGGUUGUGUUGACAACCAAACACAAUUCAAUAUCACUUUUGCGAUACAGUAGCCUUGUAUGUCGACCAGUUAACAGCUAUGUUGGGUUCAGUUCUCCAUCUCAACCAAAAAUAAAUGUUAAAGAAUAGGAUGAAGCCAGUGGCUCAGAUGGAACUGUCUAAGCAGUAAAUACAUCUCCUUUAAAUGUUGAUAUUUGGUUGCGUUGUCAACCAAACACAAUUCAAUAUUACUUUUGUAAUGCAGUGAACAGCCUAAAGGUAAUGCUAUUUUACAAACUAAUGUAACAGUAUUUAUUCAACUUUAAAAUGAGUAACACAUCCCUGGUCACAUUUUGAAGUUACUAUAACAAUACAUGUAUUCUAAUGUAAUCAAAGAAAGUGUGCAUGUUCAAGAUAGCAUGCAAAUGUCGCAGGUCUGGGGAGAUCUUCCCAAGUGCUGUAACAGUCUGCACAGAAUCUCAAACUGCGUUGACCACUUGCACCAUGUACUUCAUUUCAGUUGCGAUUCAGGUCAUUUGGUUCUGCUACAAGCACAGUGAUCACACAUUAAGUUGUUCUAUAAAUAAACUA